GGCCUUUCGUCGUGCGACGAGGGCCGUAGCUAAUUUCUAAAACCAUAAACCUCGUCUCUGGCGACAAAAAUUCUACCAGUUUCAGAUAUAAAUCCCAAUCAAGGUAGCAGACCCGUCCUCUACCGAAGCUCGAAAUUACUGCUAGAGAUGAAGAUCAGAGACGCUUGGAUAUACUUUUUGAUGCUAAUCUUCUCAUUUUCAGUUGCUUCCGCUGAUUCGAUUCACGGUUGUGGCGGAUUCGUUGAGGCAAGUUCGUCGCUGAUUAAGUCGAGGAAGUCAACUGAUGCAAAAUUGGAUUACUCUCGUGUAACGGUUGAGCUUCGCACCCUAGAUGGAUUGGUGAAGGACAGAACGCAGUGUGCACCAAAUGGUUACUACUUCAUUCCUGUAUACGAUAAGGGUUCAUUUGUAAUUAAAAUCAAUGGACCAGAAGGGUGGUCAUGGGACCCAGAAAAUGUUCCUGUUGUUGUCAAUGAUACUGGCUGCAACAGUAAUGAAGAUAUUAACUUUCGAUUCACAGGGUUCACUUUAUCUGGUAAAGUUGUGGGAGCAGGUGGUGGAGAGAGUUGUUCAGUUAAAAAUGGGGGUCCUUCAAAUGUAAACGUUGAACUAUUGUCCCCUAGUGAUGAUCUCAUUUCUUCUGCUGUAACGUCACCAACAGGGAGUUACUUGUUCACCAACAUUAUCCCAGGAAAAUACAAAAUUCGUGCAUCACAUCCUGAUCUAAAAAUUGAAGUCAAAGGUUCUACCGAGGUGGAAUUGGGUUUUGAAAAUGGCAUAGUUGAUGACAUUUUCUUUGUCCCUGGAUAUGAUCUUCGUGGAUAUGUUGUUGCUCAGGGAAAUCCAAUAUUGGGAGUGCACAUUUAUCUAUAUUCAGAUGAUGUUGUGGAAGUAGUUUGUCCCCAAGGUUAUGGUGAUGCCAUGCGACAAAGAAAACCUCUUUGCCAUGCUGUAUCAGAUGCUGAUGGAAUGUUCACAUUUAAAUCAAUACCUUGUGCACGUUAUGAGCUCCUUCCAUUUUACAAGGGUGAGAAUACAGUAUUUGAUGUUUCUCCUCCUGUUGUAUUGGUUUCUGUUGAGCAUCAGCAUGUAACAGUUCCCCAAAAGUUUCAGGUCACUGGAUUUUCUGUUGGAGGGCGAGUGGUUGAUGGGAAUGCCAUGGGAGUCGAGGGUGUUAAAAUCAUUGUUGAUGGUCGGGAAAGGUCUACAACUGACAAAGAAGGCUACUACAAACUCGACCAAGUCACAUCAAAUCAUUAUACAAUUGAGGCAAGAAAGGAGCAUUACAAGUUCAACAGCUUGAAGGAGUAUAUGGUUUUGCCAAAUAUGGCUUCAGUGGCAGAUAUUAAGGCAGUUUCCUAUGAUGUUUGUGGAGUGGUUAGGAUGGUUAAUUCUGAUUACAAGGCAAAGGUAACUUUGACUCAUGGACCAGAGAAUGUCAAGCCUCAAGUUAUACAAACAGAUGGAAGUGGAAAUUUCUGCUUUGAGGUCCCACCUGGUGAAUAUCGCUUAUCUGCUUUUGCUGCUACUCCGGAGAGUGCUCCUGGACUUCUGUUUUUACCACCUUAUAUUGAUGUUAUGGUCCAAAGUCCAUUACUGGAUGUAGAAUUUUCUCAGGCCCUUGUCAAUGUGCUGGGCUCUGUAACUUGCAAGGAGAGAUGUGGUUCAUCUGUUUCUGUUUCCCUGGUGAGAUUACCUGGUAACCAUAAUGAAGAAAGGAAGUCAAUUAGUUUGACAGAUGAGAGUGAUGAAUUUCUCUUUCCAAAUGUCUUACCUGGAAAAUACAGACUUGAGGUCAAACAUAAUUCCCCUGAUGCUAUGCGCAGUGAAGAUAAUUGGUGCUGGGAGAGGAGCUUCAUUGAUGUGGACGUUGGUGCUGAAGAUGUUAAAGGAAUUGUAUUCAUUCAAAAAGGUUACUGGGUUAAUAUUAUCUCAACCCAUGAUGUAGACACUUACAUGACUCAGCCAGAUAGUUCAAUUAGUAAUUUGAAAAUUAAGAAAGGUUCCCAGCAUUUAUGUGUGGAAUCUCCUGGUGUGCAUGAGCUCCAUUUUAUUAACUCAUGUAUUUUCUUUGGAAGCUUGCCAGUGAAGAUUGAUACAUCAAAUACAUCGCGCAUCUAUCUGAGAGGAGGGAAGUAUCUUCUCAAAGGACAAAUCAAGGUCAAGUUAAACUCAGCUGAUGAUGCAUUUGAGUUACCUAAUAAUAUCAUCGUGGAUAUUCUUAAUAGUGGGGGCAGUGCUAUUGAUGGUACAAUUGCCAAUCUUGCAUCUAGUGAUCAAACAAGCAUUGCUCUGUAUGAGUACUCUCUGUGGGCUAAUCUUGGACAGAAACUUACCUUUGUUCCUCGAGACUCUAGGGAUAAUGGAGAGAAGAAGAUAUUGUUUUACCCCACAGAACAUAGUGUCUUGGUAACAAAUGAUGGUUGUCAAGCUCCCAUUCCAAUGUUUUCUGGUCAUCCUGGAUUAUAUAUAGAAGGAUCUGUUUCUCCCCCUCUUUCUGGUGUUUAUGUCAAGAUUAUUGCUGUGGAAGAUAGCCAUGUCACAGCACUUAAGAAAGAUGAAAUGGCACUUGAAACUACCACAGAAACGGAUGGUUCUUUCAUGGGGGGGCCUUUAUAUGAUGAUAUAACGUACAGAGUUGAGACUUCAAAGCCUGGUUAUCAUCUUAAACGUACUGGACCUUAUUCCUUUUCUUGCCAGAAGCUUGGCCAAAUUUCUGUACAUAUAUUUUCAGAGGGUGAUGCUAAUGAACCUAUACCUCCUGUGCUAUUAUCAUUGAGUGGAGAUGAUGGGUAUAGGAACAACUCUAAAUCUGGAGCUGGAGGAACAUUCCUCUUUGAUAACUUAUUUCCUGGCAUUUUUUAUCUUCGUCCUUUGUUAAAGGAAUAUGCGUUCUCACCUCCAGCACAGGCAAUAGAGCUUGGUUCUGGGGAUUCUAGGGAAGUUACAUUCCAGGCUACCCGCAUUGCUUACAGGUCUUAUAUAGUCUUCAUUCUACUUGUAUUACUUGGAGACACCUGCAAUAAUUUAUUUGUGUAUAUGUUUAUUCUAUUUUUCUAGAACCAAAUUACACUAAUAAACCAUUAACUUUAUUGCAAGAAUCUAAUAAAAUUUGAAAAAUCUGUCGUUUUUGGCAUCUGCAUCUUUUAAUAGAAAGGAAAAACAUGCAAAAGAGUAAGAUUUUAUCACUGUGACAGCAACUAUCUUCUAUCAUAGCCAAAAAUUAAAAUUUAAAUUCUAGGGUCUUGUUGCUUUUAAAUGUCCUCUGUACUGUCAUCUUGCUUAAUUUUUCCAUUUUAAUUCGAAAGAGAAAUUUUUGCAUUAAGUGUGAAAUCUUAUAGCCUAUUGAGUGGAUGUUUCUUCAUUUGACAUCAUGUUGCAUUCUAUUGAAAUACUAAUGAAAAUUAAAAUAACCUUCCAAAUCUUUACAUGUGGAUAUUUUACUCCUCUUAGAAAGCAAUAUCGUCUAUCCUUUUUACAGCGCUACAGGUGUAAUCAAACUGUUGUCAGGCCAGCCAAAAGAAGGUGUUGGAGUUGAAGCUCGGUCAGAGUCAAAAGGCUACUAUGAAGAGACAGUAACAGAUUCAUCUGGAAAUUAUAGGCUGAGAGGGCUCAUUCCUGAUACAGCCUAUGUGAUUAAAGUAGUUGAAAAGCAUGGCUUGGGUGCCAAUAGAAUUGAACGUGCAUCGCCAGAAUCUGUUACUGUUAAGGUUGGAUCGGAGGAUAUCAGGGGAUUGAAUUUUAUCGUCUUCGAACAGCCAGAGAUGACCAUUUUAAGUUGUCACGUUGAAGGAAAAAGGAUGGAAGAAUUUCAUUCACAUCUCUUGGUAGAGAUCAAGUCAGCUAGUGACACGUCUAAGAUCGAGUCCGUCUUCCCUUUGCCACUGUCCAACUUCUUUCAGGUUAAGAACUUACCAAAGGGUAAACACCUCCUGCAGCUUAGAUCAAGUCUCCAAUCAAGCAACCUCAAAUUUGAGUCGGAUGUUAUUGAGGUUGACCUGGACAAGACAGCCCAAAUUCAUGUGGGCCCACUGAGAUACAAUUUUGAGGAGGAUCACCAAAAACAGGAUUUGACUCCGGCACCAGUUUUCCCUCUUGUUGUUGGGAUUUCAGUAAUUGCACUUUUCAUCAGCAUGCCAAGAUUGAAGGAUUUAUAUCAAGCAACAACAGGAAUACCAGCACCAGGAUUUAUGACCACUGCAAAGAAAGAACCUCGAAAGUCAGCAGUGAGAAAAAAGACAUAUUGAGGAUCCCUCCCAUAUAAGAAACACGAGUAGAUUCAAAUUUUGAAACUUGGCCACCAUUUUCAAGUUUUGGCCAGUCACAUAGCUAACUUGCAUGAGAUCUUAGCACCUUUGUAUGCCAACUGAAGUUUCUUUACUACUUUUCCCCACAUCAUCCACGUCAAAGUUUUUAUUUUUAUUUUUAUUUUAAGUUAGGAGAGGUGGAUUUGAACUCGUAGCUCCCACUUGAAACGAAGUAUGUGGCUACCAAUUAAUCUGCUUUGGACGCACCCAAGUUUUCUGAUUUGUAGGAGCGAAUCCUUCCAGUUUCGGUGCAAAUUACUUUCAUUAUCCCCUCGUAUGGUUGAGCUCUUCUUUUCUUCCCCAGCUGUUAUAUUCU
This 4623-nucleotide unclassified non-coding RNA is filed under the name Hevea brasiliensis (rubber tree). Lineage: Eukaryota; Viridiplantae; Streptophyta; Magnoliopsida; Malpighiales; Euphorbiaceae. The record is from RNAcentral.